Molecule: transfer RNA, 73 nt
Filed under: Capnocytophaga sputigena
Lineage: Bacteria; Pseudomonadati; Bacteroidota; Flavobacteriia; Flavobacteriales; Flavobacteriaceae
Also listed under: 1 other name
Description: tRNA-Phe(gaa)
Rfam family: tRNA
About the family: Transfer RNA (tRNA) molecules are approximately 80 nucleotides in length.
Source: RNAcentral
GGAGGUGUAGCUCAGUUGGUAGAGCACGAGCCUGAAGAGCUCGGUGUCGGUGGUUCGAUUCCACCCGCCUCCA